AAUUAAGAAAUAUUUACAAUUUAUUUAACAUCAGUGUAAUAUUUGUUUAUAACAUUUUAUAUGCAAAAUAGAAAGCUUUCUUUUUCAGUUGGCAUCUCAAUUAACCAAUGGCAUUAAAGGGAGGGAUGGAUAGUUUUCUAAAUCUGAUACAGACACCUCCCAUGAUUGAAUUGAUCAUUGUUACUAUUUGGUUCCCAUAAUGAGUAAAUUUACCCAUUUAUUUGGUUUCUGGAACAAAAAAAAAUAGUGAAAAAACAAUGACUUACCAACCUCAUCCAGAUUCCCUAGUUUUGUUUCCACAGAGAAGAAUAUUCUCAUAAUUCAGGUGUUCUCCUUUAAGAUGAAUAGAGAUAUUAAUUUGAUGAAGUGGUAAUAAUUAUCCAUCAUGGCUUAAAUGCAGAUGGGAAAAUGAAGACGGUGUUUCCCCUAAUUGAGGACAGCCAUUGAAUUACUUUAAUUGUCAAUGUAUCCUCUAAAUUAGCAGGAUAAGUAUGUGAGCAGGACAUAGUUCUUUUGUGAUAUCUCUAUGACCCUUUAUUUGGAGAGUGGAUUGCUCCCUUUUAGAAUUUCACAGCAGACACAGUUAAUGGUCUACAUUCUUUCUUUGUAUUUAUUAACACAAUCUAUGGUUCUUGUUAGCAAUAAGCUAAGUUAAAGCAAAACAAAAUAGAAGAAAAUAUGUAAUUUAUUAUUAUUUUCAAUUGUUUGGUGAGUUGGUGAUGAGAUUUAAACUUUCUUUUGACUGGAUGGCUAAGAAACCACAAUUUGUGAUGUUUAAUUGACAGGCUUCCUUUUAUCCAUGCCCUUUAUUUUUUGAUAAUACAGCUAAUAUAGCCAAUAUCAGAGAAGAGAUAAAGAAGAUCUGGAUUGAUAAAACUUCUGAUAUGUUGGACUGCCUAUUUCUGUAUUUUUCCAUGAAAAAACAUACUUGUAAAUGUUGAUGACAUUUGUCAUUAUAAUUUGGAUACUUAUACAUGCAGCUGAACAGAAUGUCAGAUGAUACUGUCUAAGUCACAUUUACACAUAAACAAGUAUUUAAUUCUAAGACCUACUCAUCAGAAAAAAAAAAUCCAAAUUUGGAAUGCUACAUAAAUAAUCAGAGAAUCACAAAACGUAAGGGAAACAAAUGAUCAAACUCACAAAUCUCAGGCAAAAUAUUAUAUCUAAUACAUAGAUAAUGCCAUAUCAUAAUUGUAAAAAAUGUUUAGGACUUGUAUAGAUUGUAAAACAUCAUUUAUUAAAUAUGGCAAGUUAAGGCCUAAGCAUUUCUAGUAUUGUUAAAAAACAAUGUCAUAUACCUAGUUUCUGUGAGAAAAAUAUCUGUAUCUGACUUACCUAUUAAUACUAUGCUAAUUAAAAUAUAUGGACAUGAAUUCAGAGCAAGAGCCAAACCUUAAAGCAAGAAUGAAAAAGAACUGUAAGAUGUAAAAUAUAUUGUGAUGAAAAACCUAUGUUUUAGAGUAAUUGAAUAUGAGGUUUGAAGAAGAAUUUGUCUUCAGAGAAUAAACUUUAAAAAUCAAACUAGACAGUUGUGUUUUCAUAUGCACUCAGUUCAAAAUAUUUUCUAAUUUUCCUUUUGAUUUCUUGUUUGAACCAUGAGGCAAUUGUUUGUCACAUCUCUGAGAAUUUUCAAGAUAUUGAUUUCUUAUUUAAUUCUAUUGUGGUUAGAAAACAUAUUUGUCGUAACAAACCUGCACGUUGUGCACAUGUACCC
RNAcentral lists this long non-coding RNA (1714 nucleotides) under Homo sapiens (human). RNAcentral describes it as "HSALNT0019025". The record is from RNAcentral. Lineage: Eukaryota; Metazoa; Chordata; Mammalia; Primates; Hominidae.